GUGCUCACUGUGGCAGCACAUAUACUAAAAUUGCAACAAUAUAGAGAAGAUUAGCACGGCCCCUGUGCAAGGAUGACGUGAAAAUUAAUGAAGCUUUCCAUAUUUUU
Molecule: small nuclear RNA, 107 nt
Organism: Phacochoerus africanus (Common warthog)
Lineage: Eukaryota; Metazoa; Chordata; Mammalia; Artiodactyla; Suidae
Source: RefSeq, a predicted model, not a curated record